RNAcentral lists this ribosomal RNA (584 nucleotides) under uncultured bacterium. Its description in RNAcentral is "bacterial SSU rRNA". It matches the Rfam family "Bacterial small subunit ribosomal RNA", at positions 338 to 915 of the family's 1533-position model. The record is from RNAcentral.
CCUACGGGAGGCAGCAGUGGGGAAUUUUGGACAAUGGGGGCAACCCUGAUCCAGCCAUGCCGCGUGAGUGAAGAAGGCCUUCGGGUUGUAAAGCUCUUUCGGCCGGAACGAAAUCGCGCACGUGAAUAACGUGCGUGGAUGACGGUACCGGAGUAAGAAGCACCGGCUAACUACGUGCCAGCAGCCGCGGUAAUACGUAGGGUGCGAGCGUUAAUCGGAAUUACUGGGCGUAAAGCGUGCGCAGGCGGUUCGCUAAGUCAGACGUGAAAGCCCCGGGCUUAACCUGGGAACGGCGUUUGAAACUGGCGGGCUCGAGUACGGCAGAGGGGGGUGGAAUUCCACGUGUAGCAGUGAAAUGCGUAGAUAUGUGGAGGAACACCGAUGGCGAAGGCAGCCCCCUGGGCCGAUACUGACGCUCAUGCACGAAAGCGUGGGGAGCAAACAGGAUUAGAUACCCUGGUAGUCCACGCCCUAAACUAUGUCAACUAGUUGUCGGGGAAGCAAUUCCUUGGUAACGCAGCUAACGCGUGAAGUUGACCGCCUGGGGAGUACGGUCGCAAGAUUAAAACUCAAAGGAAUUGAGG